UAGAAAAAAUCAUUAGACCAUCAUAUGGUGCGUGGGAGAUGGAGAACGCGUGAAAUACCAAGAGUCCAUGAUAUUAUGGACUCUUCCAUAUCAAUGCAAAUAUAUGGCAUCCCAUUAAUUAUUUGGUGUUUAAAUUCUUUUCAAGAGAAGGACUCUUCCUCCUCUUCCAUGCCCCAUAUCCCAAGCACCAUCAUAUGUCACGAGGAAUUAAGAAAAAUACGUGGAACCUUGUAAGGAAAUUAAGAG
Molecule: long non-coding RNA, 246 nt
Filed under: Elaeis guineensis (African oil palm)
Lineage: Eukaryota; Viridiplantae; Streptophyta; Magnoliopsida; Arecales; Arecaceae
Description: long non-coding RNA (EGUI_LNC055893)
Source: RNAcentral